GGUCAGUGAUGUGAUGUAAAAGGUCUGAUGCCCAAGUUUCCUCCAGCUGCCCCUUGGCUCCCAGAAGCCCCUGCUCUAUUCCCAGCAUGCUCUAGGUGUGUAGUGUUGGGUGCAGGAGUUUUUGACAGAUAGGAUGACCUCUCAGCCUGUGUCACCAAGAGAAUAAGGGGUCACGGUGAUGACGGAUGUCCAACACAGCCAACUGCCAAGGAGUAUCGGGGUCUGGGGUGGGAACAGGCACUUGAUCUCAAGUUUUCAAGCUGAGACC
This is a non-coding RNA of Megalops cyprinoides (Indo-Pacific tarpon), 268 nucleotides long. RefSeq annotates it as small Cajal body-specific RNA 6. The record is from RefSeq and is a predicted model, not a curated record. NCBI's taxonomy places the organism in Eukaryota, Metazoa, Chordata, Actinopteri, Elopiformes, Megalopidae. The transcript has a single exon.